RNAcentral lists this ribosomal RNA (469 nucleotides) under uncultured Acidobacteriota bacterium. RNAcentral's name for it is "bacterial SSU rRNA". It matches the Rfam family "Bacterial small subunit ribosomal RNA", at positions 13 to 486 of the family's 1533-position model. Lineage: Bacteria; Pseudomonadati; Acidobacteriota. The record is from RNAcentral.
UUGAUCCUGGCUCACAACGAACGCUGGCGGCGUGCUUAACACAUGCAAGUCGAGUGCGCGGUUGUAGCAAUACAACUGGCGCACGGCGCACGGGUGCGUAACACGUGGGCAAUCUGCCCUCCGAUGGGGAAUAACUCCGGGAAACCGAAGCUAAUUCCGCAUAACAUUCCCUGGACUCCGGUUCGGGGAUUCAAAGCAUCAAUGCGUCGGAGGAGGAGCCCGCGCCCGAUUACCUAGUUGGCGAGGUAACGGCUCACCAAGGCUAUGAUCGGUAGCUGGUCUGAGAGGAUGGCCAGCCACACUGGAACUGAGACACGGUCCAGACUCCUACGGGAGGCAGCAGUGGGGAAUCUUGCGCAAUGGGCGAAAGCCUGACGCAGCGACGCCGCGUGGGGGAUGAAGCUUCACGGAGUGUAAACCCCUUUCAACCGGGACGAAUGCCCGCAAGGGAGUGACGGUACCGGUAAAA